CUAAGGCUCCAGAGGAAGCCACGGCUAACUCUGUGCCAGCAGCCGCGGUAAUACAGAGGCGGCAAGCGUUGUUCGGAAUUAUUGGGCGUAAAGAGCACGUAGGCGGCCUUGCAAGUCAGUUGUGAAAGCCUUCCGCUUAACGGAAGAAUGCCAGCUGAUACUACAGGGCUUGAGUACGGGAGGGGAGAGUGGAACUUCUGGUGGAGCGGUGAAAUGCGUAGAUAUCAGAAGGAACGCCGGCGGCGAAAGCGACUCUCUGGCCCGAAACUGACGCUGAGUGUGCGAAAGCUAGGGGAGCGAACGGGAUUAGAUACCCCGGUAGUCCAAGCCGUAAA
This 335-nucleotide ribosomal RNA is filed under the name uncultured Planctomycetales bacterium. RNAcentral describes it as "bacterial SSU rRNA". It matches the Rfam family "Bacterial small subunit ribosomal RNA", at positions 473 to 806 of the family's 1533-position model. Lineage: Bacteria; Pseudomonadati; Planctomycetota; Planctomycetia; Planctomycetales. The record is from RNAcentral.